RNAcentral lists this long non-coding RNA (7520 nucleotides) under Populus trichocarpa (black cottonwood). RNAcentral describes it as "long non-coding RNA (PTRI_LNC001321)". The record is from RNAcentral. Lineage: Eukaryota; Viridiplantae; Streptophyta; Magnoliopsida; Malpighiales; Salicaceae.
UUACAUUUAAAAAUAGCUUGAUGUAAUAUCCACAAAACUUUUUUCAUAAUAACAUAGGAUAUGGUGAUGAACACAUAUCUCAUUUACAAGUAUUGUUUGUAAUAUACACAAUUCCACAAUAUUCAUCAUCUUACAAUAUAUAUUUCACACUUCCAUAAUAUACACCAUUUAUAAUUGUAGCCUCGUCCUUCUGGUUAACUUAAUUAUACAUCACAUUCACAUGUUUGAGAUAUGCUUUAUUUAAAUAAUAAAUAAUUAAAUAAAAUAUUUUUUUUUAAAAAAAAAGUGAUGAACACCUACCUGAGACUCUAGAAGUAUGUCUAUCUUCCAAUGCUAGUCCAAACUCGAAUGUCUCUCUUGAUUUUUCCAGGAAACAUCUCCUAUCAAUAACCCAACUCAAUCUAAUCUAUUUGUAACAAUUACACAUUCACAUCAUAAUCUGUAUUUGAAAUAAUCCAUCCUCAUUUUCCUCUCCAGCCUUUUUUUUUUCUCGAGAAGUCCUGUCCCCAGUCCCCUGCACCACAAACCAGUCGCAAAAACCUGGGCUACAACAGGAGGUUUCUGCUUCUAUUUUUAUAUGCUUGUGUCACGAUCAGGACUCAUAUUUUGUGUCCACACUCAACAUUGGUCUACUUUAUUUACUCUCCUUGUCUUUAGCUUCUUGUAUCAUAUAUUUUUGGACAACUAGAUAGACUUAAUCCCACAGUUGCAUGCAUGCAUCUGGGAAGAAAAAGAACAGUUUCUUUCUGUGAUGAAAUAAAUGUAAAAUCCAUGAUCCCAGCGAAUCCCUUAAUGUUAAAAGAAAGAAAAUUAAGAGCAAUUAAAGUGGUGUAUAAUUAAUUAGAGAAUCACAUGCUUCCAGUUCUACAAUCUACAAAAACAAUCAUGGCCCAUCAAAGAAAGCACUCAAGGAUUUCAUGCCAUCAUGUAUAUAACGAGGCUCUCCUGCCGGAUCAAAUCUAGAAAAUUAAGCAAGGAGAAAGAUAAUUAAAGAGAUUCAUCAUUUAUUUAAUUAACAGCUACUUUCUACUCCCAAUCGUUGAUGAGAAGUUCUGGCUCUACGUCCCUCAGCGACAAGUGCUUCACGAGCUGAUGUGAUUCCUUUUGGGGCUAACAGCUUGUCAAAUGAUGAAUAAUCAAUCCAAUCUGUAAGCAAAUUUUCUUGACCCCAUGUAUCCGGAAUCAUCACCUUGCCACUCACCUCUUCUCUAUGCCUCUUUAGUCUCUCACGUCCUGUAGUAGUAGUAGUAGUAAGAGUAACACUUUCUCUGUGCAUUAAAAUCAAUGCCUCGGCUGCCUGCUCUUUCACUUCAUUCCCAACAUUCUCCACUCCAGGAUAAGAACACCAUGUUUGUGCUUUGUUCAUGAUUUGCGAGGGUUCUGCCCUAGAAGGUGACUUUGGUUGCCAAGAAAAUGCAAUAUUCCUAGUCGUGGGUUUUCCUGGAUUGGAGGAGGGUUCUUGUUUCAUAGAUGACAAGUGCAUGCCCUCCAUUUUGAAGCAAAAUACCGGGGCUUGCUACACUAGGGAGUGCUGGCUAGAUUUUGACAAGGCUUGAGGCUUAUAAAAUCUUGAUUGUGUGUGCAAGAAAGAAUAGAUGGGAGGGAAGUUAUAAUACAGAUCACAAGUGUUAAUUUUUUUUGUAUGGUAUCUGACAACCCUACGUCUCAUCAUCCAUGCUUCUUGUUGGGGUCAGAUUUGUGUGGCUUAAGUUGGUAUAGAAAGGUAGAUUUGAAUAGUACACAGCAGGACUCUUCUAAUAAAAAAUAUGUUUCUGUUUUUUGGAUGGCUGAAGGUGGCCAACAAGUGUGCGCGGUGUGCACUAGCUAGGUUUGGUCCAAUACCGUCGGUUGAUUUGUAUGUGAAUUAAUUGAGGUGGAAAGGUAGCACACAGGAAUUGAUUUUCUAGGGAGCAAACAUGUGGAUGAGUAUAAAAACAGAACAGGAUCACAGAAAUUGAUUUCCUGAGGCAAAGAUUUUAUGACAUGUAUAUAGAGAAAAUGAGAUAUAUUUUUUAGAGUAUCAUACUUAAUGCUAAGAUGAAGACUAAGAACCUAUUUUGAUCCCAAAAAUAAUCUCUGAGUUGAGAAAUCACUGAAAAAAGGUAACCAGGCACAAGUGGUAAGAAAGCUUCAAGGGGCCAAAACAAGAAAUAAUAAGUGGCAUCUCACUAGGAUUCUAUUAUAUCACCCAAAAGGCAUAGAUCAAUGUCAUAUUGAUGUACUACCAAAUUCUUUAUUUGGAGAAAAGAAUUGGAGGCUCUACACAUACCACAAAUGCAAUUUUAAAAAUCUAAACUUGAACAAUUAUUUUCUGAGUGAAUCUCUAGCAUUCCAGUCAACUCUAAAGGGUGUCAGGAGAAGAUCUCUGAAAGGAAAAGAAAAAACAAAGAGAAGAAGAAUAUACAUUUCAAUACAAUGAAAUAACGAGCAAAACAGGUCACAUUCGUGGGAAGAGAGAACGGCCCUUCUUCCUCAAGAACUCAGGAAUCUCCACAGAGCCACCAUCGGCGUAUGGUGGACGUCUAUUUGUUCCAAGAGAAACAUCACCAUGAGCACGCUGCGUCCCCUGCAUUUUGGCCGGUCAAAAGGAUAUAAACAGAUAAAAUUUAUCAUAAGAAGAUGGACCUCAAAAACAUACCUGUCCUUCACCUUCAUCCCGGCGAUUGAAUCCAGUGGCGAUCAGGGUUAUGCUAACCUAAAUGACAAAAGGACACCAACAAUAACUAAAUAAAGAGAGAUGAUUAUCGCUUAAUCAGACUUAAAGCUCAUGCAGCAAGAAAUGUUAUUUAUAAUAUCCUCAUACAUCAGAACUCAACAACAUAGAACUUCAGCUUCCAGGCUCUUCGAACAGAAGAAAGAGGUAGAACCAAUAAAGAUUUCUUUUUGGAUUCAUCCCUUGGAGUUGAAUACCUCAUUAUCACAAGCUAAAUUAGCAAUUUCAGAUGUCAUGUUUGUUAAUUACAGUUAUAAAAACUCAAUUUUGAUUUAUUGUUUGCUCAUCGUCAAUACUAUCUUAAAGGAAAAACAUUAUGUAAUCUGACGUACAAAGCAAGGGAAAUGGGAUUGCUAAACAUAAUGGUUCUCUAAUAACCUGAAAGCUCAUUCAUACCACUAACUUGAAGGACUCAUGCAAUGACAUUAAAGCUUGAAGUUCAAAAGAAAAAAAAUUAUAAUAAGAUUAGAAAAGGUUGCAUAAAUUCGCAUUCUUGAAAAAUUAGCUGUAUAUCUGGGUUUUCUCAGUCCUUUAUUGUUUGAAGUCUUCUGCUUUAGGCUUCAUAAAUUGAUUAGUAAAUUCAUUAAACGGGUUAUCCAGAAAUUCAUGUGGAAUUGCUUAGCAAUUCAAUUCAUUUUUUAUGAGAAACUUUGGUAUAUAGGACAUAUACAGUUCUGGAAGUUUUGACGUAGAAAAAUCUUUGACAAAGAGAAAUUGACUCUUGAUGGCCACUUGAAUGAGAAAAGCUUUGCUAAGGUCAAAUUUUGUGAUAUGCAACAGUAAUCAUUUAUCUGUAUUUUCUAUUUCGUCCUCAGAACCUCAAUUUUUCCUUGUAUUCCUUUUGUUUAAUUUUUUUUUUAAGAAAAUACCCUCCAGAUUACCUGUUACCAGAAUAAUAAAAAACAUAAUGUUACAGUUAUUUCUCUAUUGCCUACUUACUUGACCACUUAGUGCUGGAUCGAUCACUGCUCCAAAUAUUAGGUUUGCAGUUGGAUCCACAAGGUCAUAUAUAACCUCCGCUGCAGCAUUCACCUUCAAGAAAUAUGACACAAGAAUUGAAGUCAAAAUAUCUUCUCACUAAAUAGAAAACCAUGGCAGGAUGCUAGUAUAAAAUGGGUGUAGAGAGCCAUGUAGCUACAUAUUAACCCAAUUCGUUAUAACAAAUUAUAGCACAAAUGCACACGACAUUGGGUAGUGUUUUAGAUAAACAAGACAGAUUUUUUCACUGCUACAAUCCCAAAGGCAUACAAGUAAACCACUCAUUUCAUUUGCCUUUCCCCUACGUGCAAUAAAGUUUGUAUUGGUAUGCAGAACUUGCACAUUAAUAUAUGUAUGUCUCCUCAAAAAGCUGUUCCAACUUCAUGUUGGCCACUGUAGAAGUAGGUUGACUAUUAGGAUGUGGCCAGUAGAGAUGAGAAUGCACAUGUACAGGCCAUAGUUUUCUCAUCAUUCCCAGACAAGCUGGUGGCAUAUGUUGCUUAAAUCUUUUUAAAACAAAUAGAAAAAAAGAUGCAAGCACCUAUCUAACUGAUCAAAGCCAGGAUAUAAAGGAUGCUUGUACAGACUCAAUUUCUUUAUCCAAUAACAAAAAAUUAGAACAUCCAAUAAAGAGUGACAAUUUAUCAUGCUAAUAAACCAACAGCAUGACCAUGAUACUAUUUCACAAGGAAUUUUACUUUUUCCAAAGACUUCAUUCUGCGAGAGCAGGACCACUAUUUCAUGAGUUAAGGACAUGGCAUGUAUUACAGGUAGCUUAGCAAAUCUAUGUGUUCUUGUUUUGCUUGAAAAACAAUUACAUACAAAUUAGUGCGCCAACUCUCCAAAUCCUAACCUUUUGGAUUGCAAAAACACAACAGUGAUAAAGACUCAUUACAGAAAAGAAAAGAUUGCACCCAUUUGGCAUAAAAAAUUAUGCUUGCAAUCUUGACAUUUUCCCCUGGGGAUUUGAAACACAAGCAGUGAAUGUGCAUGCCUAUAUGUUUAAUAGUUAAUAUUCCCUAGUACUCCCAAAAAAACUACUAAAAAGUGCAGGAGAUAAAAUAGCAAUAAAAUCAGGUUCAACCACGACACUCAGAGAAGAAGGCCCACCUCAAACAAUGUUAAAUCAGUUCCACCAGUUAUAUUCCACACAAUCCCAGUAGCUCUUUCAAUGCCAAUAUCUAACAAAGGUGAUUGGAUGGCAUUCAAUGCAGCGUCUCUAGCCCUGGUCUUCCCUGCUAAUCAAUAAAGCAAAAAAAUUAUUACAGCUAGACAAUUAAAACUUUGAUCAUGAUGCAUCAAACAGUUUUGUGCAGAAACAAUUGAAGGGAAAACAGAAAUUGAGAAUGACACCAUGAAAGAGGCAGGCAUUCAGAAAAAUUAAAAAAGAGGUGUACCACAACAACCCGAGAAAUUAAUAAUAGAAAUGCAUGUAGUGACAUAACAAUGUUAUUCUUUUCUUUCUUCUUUUACAUACCAGUUGCAGUUCCUAUUCCCAAAAGAGAAGAACCUGCAUCUUUCAUGAUAGCUCGAACAUCAGCAAAAUCAACAUUAACCAGACCUGGCACCUGUAGAAGAAAAUUUCCCACCAUUAAGAGGGGAAUAACUGAAUAAGUAAGAACAUUGCUGAAUAUGGUUGACAAAGGAAAGGAAUAGAAGACAGAAGACAGAGGCCUAGAGACAUGGGAUAAGUCCAGAAACCCCUGUCAGAUGACUGUAGCAGCCUGGAAAUUGGCCUUCUCUUCUUUUGCAGGAUUUGAUAAGUAAGAAGUGUCUGGUUGCAAAUUCAACAGAAAAUUUGAAGUAGAGAGAAAUAAGUGCGAAUGUUAGUUCCAAAAAAAGGGUUUUUUUAUAAUUAUAAAAUCAAGUGCAUAGACAUUGUCAGAGCUGAUUGAAUGGUCAAACAUUAAACAAACAGUGAAAUUGUGCAUAAUUAUAAGCUCAUGGUCAUGGAAUAUGAGGGUUAGCACAUGAACAUCACACAUGAUUACCGGAAAAGAAAUCAUAGGAAGCCAAAGACACAAAUUAAAUUAGCAUUUGUCUUUACUCGUUCCAUACCAUGAUGAUGUCAGAGAUACCACGAACACCUUGCCGAAGUAUGUCAUCAGCCAAGUUAAAUGCCUCUGUCACUGGGGUUGAUUGAGAAACUGCAGUCAGCAACUUGUCAUUAGGAAUAACAAUUAAUGUGUCGACAUUGUUUCUCAGAGCCGCGAUUCCUUCCUGAGCUUGAACAGCGCGUCUUCGGCCCUCAAAAGAAAACGGUGACGUAACAAUACCAACAGUCAGUAUUCCCAUAGACUUUGCAACGCCAGCAAUAACUGGAGCCCCACCAGUGCCAGUUCCUCCACCCAUUCCAGCCUGCAAAUUUAACGCAUCAACAGGAUAUCAUAACAGAAUGAGAAAAGCAGCAACAAUCAGGAAGUACAGUACUGUGAUCUAUUUCUAGGACUUGUGAAGAACUACAUGGAGACAAAAAAAAUAUAAAGGGAACCCUCAACAGAAUGUGGUAGAUCUAGCAAUUGUUCUGGCCUGAUUUUACAUCAAUAUCUGAUAUAACAUGAAUCAAAGCUAUGAUCUGAUGAUAUGAACUUGUAAUUUUGCACUUCCUUCAACAACUAUAAUCUUCCCCCAUUAUUUUCCAAUUCAGGAAAAAAAAAUUAAAGCAUUCGAUUGACAAAAUUUGACUACAGUUGAACUCCCAUAUCUAUUGGAAUUACUACUUAACUAGAUAUCAGCAAGGAUCAAUGGGAAGCCUAAUAUGCAGUUCUGCAAAACACAAAAAAGUGUGCCUCUGAUCUCAAUAUUCUACUGAAUUGUGCAAAACUAAUAAAUUGUUCUUUUCAAAAAGAUGAUAGAAAGGAGUUCUAUAUCUCAGGACCUACUUUCAUCUUACUAAUUUUUUAAAACAAAUAACAUAUAGGAAAAGAACUAGGGCAUACUGUUAUGAAGACCAUGUCUGCACCAUAAAGUGCCUCCUCUAUCGCCGCUUUGCUUUCAUUUGCAGCAUUCAUGCCUAUAUCCGGGUUUCCACCAGCACCCAGACCUCUAGUCAGCUCUUUGCCAACUUGCAAUCGAUUCUCUGGGAGCACUGGUGACAUCUUCAUUGCCUGAAUAUCUGUGUUCACUAUCCAAAACUCCACCCCUGUCAGAGAACUCUCGAUCAUUCUAUUAACAGCAUUAGACCCACCACCUCCAACACCAACAACCUUGAUCUUGGCUUCAUUGUAGUUGCUCAUAAAAGAGGUAUCCCCUGAGCUCUCGGUGACAUUUCUUCCAGACGUCUCCUUUCUCACACUAGAAUAUGUGUCAUUUGCAUCACUUCUGAGCAUUGAAACCUCGGGGUGUAAAUCCAGGAAAGAGUCUUUGUGAUUUGGACUGAUAUUGUGAGAGUUAACCGAACACCUAAUUUGCGAGAUACUGACGGCAUUUCUUCCACAUGCGCCCCAUGAACCUUUCUUCUUGUCGAACCUUUGGGCCGUAACUAUUCUACCAAAUCGGUUUUCUGUUGAAAUCCUUCGUCCUACUGAAAUUUGAGUACCAGAUGGCGUGAAAGGCGGAGAUACACAAGACGCCAUACUAGAAGGGAAAAAGCAAAAUUCUUUAAAUUACGAUUCAGUAGUGAAGUAGUUUAGAACCAAAGCUGCCCAAAUCGAACUGUUCUGCUUACUUCCAUUCUUCCUUAACCUGGUCACAGGUAAUAACAAGUUAACCAGUCAAGAUAAACACAGAAAACAAUAGCAUUACAGAAAAAAGAUUUCAAACUUUAAGAAUCCAUCUUGGGUCAAGAAAACAAAACAACAUUGAAAAAAAAAUCAAGAUCCAACUACCA